Lotus japonicus is the source of this 1092-nucleotide RNA transcript. It is a transcript of the gene named rhomboid-like protein 15, with no coding region annotated. NCBI's taxonomy places the organism in Eukaryota, Viridiplantae, Streptophyta, Magnoliopsida, Fabales, Fabaceae. The record is from RefSeq and is a predicted model, not a curated record. The transcript has 8 exons.
UUCGUUAAUUUACAGCCCCACUAACUUUACCAAUCCCGUAACCGCAAACCCUUAAUUUUAUCAGUUCAGUUCCUCUCUCAAAGCUUGCUCGUACCUCCACCGUCCCUUCCGCGGCCGCCGCCGUUCCUGCUGCGUCGAUGCCGCUCUUGUUUUGUGUCUCUUCGUCCAUGUAGUUCGUUGCCCUGUCCUCAUAAGCCACCAGCACCAUUUCGCCGCUCAUGGGUCUCUCAAAGGAACAACUUCUAGCACGGUUACAGAUUUUCAGGCUGUAGGGAGAAUGGGUUAUAGGAGAAGCUACUCCUAGUAGCUUUUGUAGAAGCAUAAUUGAUUCUAGAAGAUCUGAAUGAGAAUCCAAACAAUAACUUGCCAUUAGAAGCUUCAAAUUGAAUUUUCCCAGUAUGAGCAUCCAGUUGUUUUGACUGUUGAAGCCCAGGCAAAAUAUGUUGGAAAUUUAGAGGGUGGCUUGAGUAAAAAUUUAUUUUUGAAGGGUAAAUCAAUGGUGGGAAAGCAUUCCAUUCCCCACUUCUGCAGUGGUUGUUGUGUGUGGAUCAAUUUACUUGGUCUGUCUUCUGGUUGGAUAUGAUUCCUUCACUGAGAUAUGCUUCUUGCCUUCUGCUGUUGUGUCACGGUUUCCAGUGUGUUUGGGUUGUUUAAUGUGCCUCCCAAGUGGUAUUCAUUCUUUUUGUUGGUAGUAUUCCAGCUUCUCAUGCAAAAUGUCUCACUACUUGGACACCUUUGUGGCAUUUUAUCUGGGUUUGCAUGUCAGAUUUCACUCCUUUUGCCUCCCUUCUUUUCAUUUUCUAACUUUGCCAAUAUUUGAGCAAUUGACCUCAAGUUUUAUAUUGGGUUGCUUAAUGUUCCAGAUACAUAUGGCUUGUUUAAUUUCCUCAUACCUAGGACAUCUUUUUAUUCUUCCACUAAAGCCUCUUCCUUGCUUGUAAGUAUCUUUCUGGAAUUGGCUUUGGUACUGCACAAAGAUGAGAAAACUUGCAUUUGAUUGCUUUCUAUAUCCUCUUGCUGUUAUCAUUAGACUUGAUUCAUAUACAUAUCAAAUCACAUUUAUAAAUUGUACUUUUGAUCUGUUUAUAAACA